GGGCCCGCACAAGCAGUGGAGCAUGUGGUUUAAUUCGAUGCAACGCGAAGAACCUUACCAGGGUUUGACAUAUCACUUAUUUUAUAAUAAGGUUUUAAUGAAAGUUAAUUUUAGAUUACAGGUGGUGCAUGGCUGUCGUCAGCUCGUGUCGCGAGAUGUUGGGUUAAGUCCCGCAACGAGCGUAACCUUUGUUUCUUGUUGUGAUUUCAGAUCAAGAAAAACUGCCAGUGAUGAGCUGGAGGACGGUAAAGAUGACGUCAAGUCAGCAUGCCCCUUAUACUCUGGGCCACACACGUGCUACAAUAGUUAGGAUAAAACGUAACUACUUUGUGAAAAGAUGUUAACCGUUAAACCUAAUUUUAGUUCGGAUCCAUCUCUGCAACUCGAGAUGGUU
Molecule: ribosomal RNA, 394 nt
Filed under: uncultured bacterium
Lineage: Bacteria
Description: bacterial SSU rRNA
Rfam family: Bacterial small subunit ribosomal RNA
Source: RNAcentral